CCUACGGGAGGCAGCAGUGGGGAAUAUUGCGCAAUGGGCGAAAGCCUGACGCAGCGACGCCGCGUGAGGGAUGAAGGUCUUCGGAUCGUAAACCUCUGUCAGCAGGGAAGAACGGUCACUGUGCUAAUCAGCAGUGAAUUGACGGUACCUGCAAAGGAAGCACCGGCUAACUCCGUGCCAGCAGCCGCGGUAAUACGGAGGGUGCGAGCGUUAGUCGGAAUGACUGGGCGUAAGGCGCUCGUAGGCGGUAUGUCAAGUCAAGGGUGAAAUCCCCGCGCGCAACGUGGGAACUGCCUUUGAAACUGGCAAACUGGAGUGUGUGAGAGGAUAGUGGAAGUCCAGGUGUAGGAGUGAAAUCCGUAGAUAUCUGGAGGAACAUCAGUGGCGAAGGCGACUAUCUGGCACAUAACUGACGCUGAGGAGCGAAAACGUGGGUAGCAAACAGGAUUAGAUACCCUUGUAGUC
RNAcentral lists this ribosomal RNA (465 nucleotides) under uncultured bacterium. Its description in RNAcentral is "partial 16S ribosomal RNA". It matches the Rfam family "Bacterial small subunit ribosomal RNA", at positions 338 to 795 of the family's 1533-position model. The record is from RNAcentral.